GAUGAACGCUGGCGGCGUGCCUAAUACAUGCAAGUCGAGCGAACAGACGAGGAGCUUGCUCCUCUGACGUUAGCGGCGGACGGGUGAGUAACACGUGGAUAACCUACCUAUAAUACUGGGAUAACUUCGGGAAACCGGAGCUAAUACCGGAGAAUAUAUUGAACCGCAUGGUUCAAUAGUGAAAGACGGUUUUGCUGUCACUUAUAGAUGGAUCCGCGCCGCAUUAGCUAGUUGGUAAGGUAACGGCUUACCAAGGCAACGAUGCGUAGCCGACCUGAGAGGGUGAUCGGCCACACUGGAACUGAGACACGGUCCAGACUCCUACGGGAGGCAGCAGUAGGGAAUCUUCCGCAAUGGGCGAAAGCUUGACGGAGCAACGCCGCGUGAGUGAUGAAGGUCUUCGGAUCGUAAAACUCUGUUAUUAGGGAAGAACAAAUGUGUAAGUAACUAUGCACGUCUUGACGGUACCUAAUCAGAAAGCCACGGCUAACUACGUG
This 497-nucleotide ribosomal RNA is filed under the name uncultured bacterium. Its description in RNAcentral is "partial 16S ribosomal RNA". It matches the Rfam family "Bacterial small subunit ribosomal RNA", at positions 28 to 507 of the family's 1533-position model. The record is from RNAcentral.